Prolemur simus (greater bamboo lemur) is the source of this 140-nucleotide non-coding RNA. The record is from Ensembl. Lineage: Eukaryota; Metazoa; Chordata; Mammalia; Primates; Lemuridae.
UGGCUUGGUUUCCUGGGAGGUGGGCUCAGCCUACUCCACCCUCCCCUCAGCCAAGCCUAGAGUAGAGGGGCCAGGCAUCCUCACCAGGGGAGAAGCAUUUAAGUAAGGAGCCUCACCUGGGCUGUCCUAGCCUCACAUUU